RNAcentral lists this ribosomal RNA (465 nucleotides) under uncultured bacterium. Its description in RNAcentral is "partial 16S ribosomal RNA". It matches the Rfam family "Bacterial small subunit ribosomal RNA", at positions 28 to 507 of the family's 1533-position model. The record is from RNAcentral.
GACGAACGCUGGCGGCGUGCUUAACACAUGCAAGUCGAACGGAAAGGCCCUGCUUGCAGGGUACUCGAGUGGCGAACGGGUGAGUAACACGUGGGUGAUCUGCCCUGCACUUCGGGAUAAGCCUGGGAAACUGGGUCUAAUACCGGAUAGGAGCCAUUUUUAGUGUGAUGGUUGGAAAGUUUUUUUCGGUGUAGGAUGAGCUCGCGGCCUAUCAGCUUGUUGGUGGGGUAAUGGCCUACCAAGGCGGCGACGGUAGCCGGCCUGAGAGGGUGGACGGCCACAUUGGGACUGAGAUACGGCCCAGACUCCUACGGGAGGCAGCAGUGGGGAAUAUUGCACAAUGGGCGCAAGCCUGAUGCAGCGACGCCGCGUGGGGGAUGACGGCCUUCGGGUUGUAAACUCCUUUCGCUAGGGACGAAGCUUUUUGUGACGGUACCUAGAUAAGAAGCACCGGCUAACUACGUG